UACGGGGGGGAGCAAGCGUUGUUCGGAUUUACUGGGCGUAAAGGGCGCGUAGGCGGCCACCGCAAGUCGACUGUGAAAUCUCCGGGCUUAACCCGGAAAGGUCAGCCGAUACUGCGGGGCUAGAGUACAGAAGGGGCAACUGGAAUUCUCGGUGUAGCGGUGAAAUGCGUAGAUAUCGCUUGGAACGCCGACGGCGAAAGCAGUCUGCUGGGGGUGUGCUGACGCUGGAGACACGAAAGCCAGGGGAGCGAACGGG
RNAcentral lists this ribosomal RNA (256 nucleotides) under uncultured bacterium. RNAcentral's name for it is "partial 16S ribosomal RNA". It matches the Rfam family "Bacterial small subunit ribosomal RNA", at positions 524 to 776 of the family's 1533-position model. The record is from RNAcentral.